This 560-nucleotide unclassified non-coding RNA is filed under the name Hevea brasiliensis (rubber tree). The record is from RNAcentral. Lineage: Eukaryota; Viridiplantae; Streptophyta; Magnoliopsida; Malpighiales; Euphorbiaceae.
AAAAAAUAGAACUGCAAAUGAGGAGUCCCUUUUCUGUUUCCAUAGGUGGUUUGCCACCUUGGUGUGAACAAUUGGUUAAUACAUGCCCCUUUUUGUUUGGUUUCGAAGCAAGAUGCAAGUAUUUCCGCCUUGCUGCAUUUGGUCGACAGCCAAUUCAGCCUGAAUCAUCGUCUCAUAAUACAGCUACAGGUGUGAGUGGUAGGCACCAAAACAGUAGUGUUUUACGCCGGAAAAAAUUCUUAGUUCAUCGAAGUAGAAUUUUGGAUUCUGCUAGGCAGAUGAUGGACCUCCAUGCCAAUCAGAAGGUUGUCAUUGAGGUGGAAUAUAAUGAUGAGGUUGGUACUGGUCUUGGUCCGACGCUAGAAUUUUUCACCUUUGUCAGUCAUGAGUUCCAGAAGAUUGGGCUAGGGAUGUGGAGAGGUGAUUACUUGGCUCAUGCCAGCAUGAGUGUAGAGGAGGAAUCUGGAAUUAUUUUCUCUCCUUUUGGUCUGUUCCCCCGCCCAUGGUCACCUUCACCCCAUUCAUUAAAUGGCCUAGAGUUCUCUGAAGUGCUGAAAAAG